Molecule: ribosomal RNA, 217 nt
Filed under: uncultured bacterium
Lineage: Bacteria
Description: partial 16S ribosomal RNA
Rfam family: Bacterial small subunit ribosomal RNA
Source: RNAcentral
UACGGAGGAUCCAAGCGUUGUCCGGAUUUAUUGGGUUUAAAGGGUGCGUAGGCGGACCAUUAAGUCAGAGGUGAAAGUUUUCAGCUUAACUGGAAAAUUGCCUUUGAAACUGGCGGUCUUGAGUAUAGUUGAGGUGGGCGGAAUGUGUCAUGUAGCGGUGAAAUGCUUAGAUAUGAUACAGAACACCGAUUGCGAAGGCAGCUCACUAAACUAUAAC